Molecule: long non-coding RNA, 319 nt
Organism: Hippocampus comes (tiger tail seahorse)
Lineage: Eukaryota; Metazoa; Chordata; Actinopteri; Syngnathiformes; Syngnathidae
Exons: 2
Source: RefSeq, a predicted model, not a curated record
GUCAUUCUAGAAUUGCAGGACAGUGUAUCAUGCCGUGUUGGAUGUCAAAGAAUAAAAAUGGGCUCCUUCCAAAGUUUGGGACCAGCGACAGAAAAAGCUCUAUUCCCUCUGAGCCUCGACUUGGGUGCCAUUAGCUGACCCAGCCCAGAGAGUUAGGAGGCAAGCAGCAACAUUUUAAGCCAGCAGGAUCAACGUUAAAGGUCAGGGCUGGCUGACUCCAAAAUAAAGUGCAUUACAGUAAUCCAGCAGAGAUGUGACAAAAGCGUUGAUUACUGUUUCAAAUUCCCGUUGUGCAAUAAAGGGUGCCUUUGUCUGGUCA